CCCGUGCCGUUGCUCUUCCAGAUACUUUCACGCUCGCUCUGUCCAGGUGCAACUGUCAUGUCUGAUUCAGAUUUCAGAGUUAGAUAAUGGCCUGUUGAAAUGUGCCACUCUUCCAUACUCUCGUGGGCUAGUGGUUAUGCAGUACAAAUAAUAAGCAUGGAAUGAAGGACAUACAAAUAGUAAGCCUUAGCUAGCGAUCAACUUGGACGAUGAAAAGGUUUAUAAAAGCUAUUGGUGUAUCAGGUUCAUACCUGCGUCAAUGUUGAUUUAAAUGAAGUUUGCUGAGAUGACCAGGAAAAAAAAAUGAAGUUUGCUGAGACUCCAUUACUGAUAGUAAAAGAUAUAGUUUUGGCAGGUCACUAAUGCAAAGUCAAGUACGACUCAGACUUGGUAGGAUUUUGUUAUUAGGUAUCUCAUUGUCGCAAAUCUCCAGUGCUCAUGCAAACAAUAUCUUCAAAUAAAGCUCCAAGUUAUUGUGGAAAAUUUGCGAGAAGGAUUGAAGGGA
This is a long non-coding RNA of Corylus avellana, 505 nucleotides long. RefSeq lists it as uncharacterized. Lineage: Eukaryota; Viridiplantae; Streptophyta; Magnoliopsida; Fagales; Betulaceae. The record is from RefSeq and is a predicted model, not a curated record.